RNAcentral lists this ribosomal RNA (253 nucleotides) under uncultured bacterium. Its description in RNAcentral is "partial 16S ribosomal RNA". It matches the Rfam family "Bacterial small subunit ribosomal RNA", at positions 524 to 776 of the family's 1533-position model. The record is from RNAcentral.
UACGUAGGUGGCAAGCGAUACUCGGAAUCACUAGGCGUAAAGCGCAGGUAGGCGGUUCGGAAAGUCUUUUGUGAAAGCUCCCGGCUUAACUGGGAGAGGUCAAGGGAAACUGCCGGACUAGAGUGUGGUAGGGGAUACUGGAAUUCCUGGUGUAGCGGUGAAAUGCGUAGAUAUCAGGAGGAAUACCUAUGGCGAAAGCAGGUAUCUGGGCCAUCACUGACGCUGAGCUGCGAAAGCUAGGGGAGCAAACAGG